Molecule: ribosomal RNA, 253 nt
Filed under: uncultured bacterium
Lineage: Bacteria
Description: partial 16S ribosomal RNA
Rfam family: Bacterial small subunit ribosomal RNA
Source: RNAcentral
UACGAAGGGGGCUAGCGUUGUUCGGAAUUACUGGGCGUAAAGCGCACGUAGGCGGGUCGUUAAGUCAGGGGUGAAAUCCCGGAGCUCAACUCCGGGACUGCCUUUGAUACUGGCGAUCUAGAGAUCGGAAGAGGUGAGUGGAAUUCCCAGUGUAGAGGUGAAAUUCGUAGAUAUUGGGAAGAACACCAGUGGCGAAGGCGGCUCACUGGUCCGAUACUGACGCUGAGGUGCGAAAGCGUGGGGAGCAAACAGG